This 395-nucleotide ribosomal RNA is filed under the name uncultured bacterium. Its description in RNAcentral is "bacterial SSU rRNA". It matches the Rfam family "Bacterial small subunit ribosomal RNA", at positions 29 to 429 of the family's 1533-position model. The record is from RNAcentral.
AUUAAACGCUGGCGGCAUGCCUUACACAUGCAAGUCGAACGGUAGCGCGGGGCAACCUGGCGACGAGUGGCGAACGGGUGAGUAAAGCAUCGGAACGUGCCCUGGAAUGGGGGAUAACGUAGCGAAAGUUACGCUAAUACCGCAUAUUCUGUGAGCAGGAAAGCAGGGGAUCGCAAGACCUUGCGUUCUGGGAGCGGCCGAUGUCGGAUUAGCUAGUUGGUGGGGUAAAAGCCUACCAAGGCGACGAUCCGUAGCGGGUCUGAGAGGAUGAUCCGCCACACUGGGACUGAGACACGGCCCAGACUCCUACGGGAGGCAGCAGUGGGGAAUUUUGGACAAUGGGCGGAAGCCUGAUCCAGCCAUGCCGCGUGAGUGAAGAAGGCCUCGGUUGUAAG